RNAcentral lists this long non-coding RNA (3941 nucleotides) under Mus musculus (house mouse). RNAcentral describes it as "long non-coding RNA chr13:56021050-56024991". The record is from RNAcentral. Lineage: Eukaryota; Metazoa; Chordata; Mammalia; Rodentia; Muridae.
UCGGGGUAGUGAAAAACUUCCUAGAGAGGUUACAGAAGUUCCUGCCAGCUGAAACAGCCUGAUAAACUCAGCCUUGCCAGGAUUAGACAUCUCAGCUCUACUGACACUCUGAAGAAUGUUCGUAGGUAAGCCACGAUUUGCCAACAGCAACGGCUGACAAACGAUUUCCAUUUAGAAUACAUGAAAGAUUUAAAAAUGAAACCAUAAAUGACAAGCGUCAAAUUAAGAGUGUGUGAAACAACUUGAAACUUUACAAAGGAGAUGGGAGUCUUGUGAGCAUGUGUGGCUAGUGAGCAUACAUGGCUAGUAAACUCGUGUAUAAAGCCAGGUGCUUCUGAGGAAAGGAGAUCUCAGCAGCUCACAGCCUGCGAGGCUGGAAGACACAAUGUGGACGUCCCAACUGCUUUAGUGUCUGGUGAGGCCCCUUUGGCUAUGUCAGAUAAUGAGAGAAUCAUCAUGGCAGGCACACACACAUACACAUACACACCACACAAACAUGCACACACACACAUUGGGAGAGUGCCUGUGGUGGGAAGGAAGGAAGGCAGGCAGAGGCAAAGUAAGACUUGGGCCAAACACCCACCCCCCACUCCCAGAGCAUAGCUCACUUGCCCAGCAAGGCCAGAACUGAACCCAUCUGAGGACAGGGCUCCCAGUGACUUUAUGUCCCACUCACCCUACCUCUAGCAGGGUCUACCACCUCUCACACUGCCAUGCCACACUGGCACACCGGGCUUUAGACACAUGGAUCCCUCUGAACAAUCAUAGACAGUAUCUAGACUCAGCAGCACAUGAGUAAGGGUUUGACAUCAUUGGAUCGGGGAAGCAGGAAGUCUAAUUCCAGUGAGUCACCACUGGAUACUGGCAAGGCCUUGGCUGAGGUGAGAACACUUGACCCUGGCUAUGGGGCAGGGUGUGGAAGAACUGAAUGCUAACACAUUACUGGCUGGAGUGUGAAGUGGCAUGACAACCCAGCGUGGCUGGGCAUUUUCUUCAAAGUUAAAAAUACAUAUAUCCUGUGACCCAGAAACUCUAAUCCUAGCUAUUAACCUCAGAAAUAAAAACACAUUACCAUAAUAAAUCCUUGAAUAAGAAUAUUCACGACAUUCUAAAAGUGGGUCAAGCAUGGUGCUUUGUUAGACGCCUGUCAUCCUAGCACUUAGAAGGCAGAAGGGAGGUGGAGUUGAGAGUUCAAGGCCAACCUGGGAUUUUAUAGUAAGUUCCAGGCUAGCCUGGGCUACACAACCAAACCUUAUCUCCAACAAUCAACAGGCUCGGGGUGUAAUUCAGUAAUAGAGCAAUUGUCUAGUGUGGCCAAGGCUUUGUGUUUGAGCCCUAGCACAGUAAAUAAAAACAAUAAAAACUCCUCCUAAGUCAACAACAAAACAAAAAAGCAAGUCAGUGAACAUAUAAACUGGUCAGGGCAUACCACAGCGUGCCAGGGCAGAUGGCAUAGUAUUUAGGAUGUGCAGUCCCAUCGGUGAAUGCCAAGCAUGUGAAUAAAUGAAGCUGGAUGCUAAAGGCUGCAUAGUUAAGUUAUCCGUGAGAAAGAGUAAAACAGGAAACAUAUAUGUGUCAUGGUGGCAGAAAUCAAAUCAAGGCUGAUUCUAGGGGAGAGAUUGGGAAGUGUGAAGAUCUUCCUGGGCGUGAGAUGUCUGUCUUGUGUUUUCCCGUGUUCAUCAAAACUCAACAGAGGCUCAGAGACACGGAUUGGUAGUGGAGCCCUUGCCUAGCAGAAGCAAGGUCACGUGCCCCAUCUCUAGCACAGCAAAAGCAAGCACACAGACAGAACCUCUGCAUUCAUCUUAUGUAAAUCCCCAUGAUAAGAAUGUGAUGCAAAGGCCAUUUUCCCUUACCGACCUUUAAAUCACAGGUAGCAAAUAUAAUGGUAUAACAUUAUCUUUUCAAAAAGGUAUAUUUAUGUUUAUUUUGUGUGUAUGAGGGUCAGCCUACAUCUGCACAUGUGUACACUAUAUGCAUGCAGUGCCUGUGGAGGCCAGAAGACGCUGUCAGCUCCCCCUGCAACUGGAGUGACAGGUAGUUGGGAAUUGCUACUUAGGUGCUGGAAACUGAGUCCCAGUCUUCUGCAAGAACCCCAAUGCUCUUAGCUUCUGAGCCAUCUCUCCAUCCCCCAAACUGUCUUACAGUGGGGUGGGAGUGCCAUGAUACAUCUACAGGAGGAAACCAAACCUAACCCGUUCAGCAGGCGCUGUGCGCUCCUAAUGUGUUAUGCGUCAGCACCUGCUCUUGAGCUCACACUAUCUCCUUGGGCAUUAAGCCUUCAAAGAAAGCCACCGGGCGAGAGAGAUUUGGGCCACCCCUGCCCUGGGCCUUGGAAUAGCUAUCGUAGUGAUGUCCAGAAAAAGCAAGCACCAUUGUUGUCUGUUUGUUGUGUCCUCUGAAGCUUGAGCCUACGGAACAAUCACCAGCAGACUUCAAAAGCUGGGAGUCAUCUUGGUUAUCUCUCGAAGAAGCCCAGCUUAGCCUUUGCCCUGUCUGUGACAUCUGUGACAUCAAAGACGCUUUCAUUGCAUGACCAUCUGCCACGGUGGUGUCCAACAGGCUCUCUCUGGAAGGUUUACAAGGGAUCAGACUGGAUGAUGAGUCAGCCUUCCUCUGGACUCUCUUACCCAUCCUUUCUCCUCCUGGCUUGGCCCAGGGGUCCCUGGGUAGGGUGGCCUGAGUUCUCUGGCUUGUCUGGAUAUGGUCUGGCUUGGCUCUGCUGUACUGAGACUUGAAUCUAAGCUCCCAGCCUGCCUCUUGAAGCAGCUCCAUCAGACUAGGCCUGGGAAGGGAAGGGCUAUCCGUGUGUUUAUAUUUAUGUGUGUGUGUGUGUUGGGGGGGGGGUCACUGUGGUAAUUUUCAUUGACUGAAGAGCAUAUCUGCUCACUGACAGAGCAUGACCAGUAACGAUCAGCCUGGAUCCUGGUCUUCCGCGUGUCUGUCCUUUUACCUGCAUGUCCUGAGUGCUACUCUAAGGUUUUGGAUCAGAACCCACUUCUUAUGGUUCUGCUUUCCUUGUGUCCCUUGGAAAGCACUGCAUCCUAAAACAGUAUAAAAAAGUGGCGUGAGUGUGUGUGUGUGUGUGUGUGUGUGUGUGUGUGUGUGUGUGUGUGUUUAAAUGAGGACAGUAGAUGAAUCAAUUGGUAGACAAAAGUGGAAUGAAAUGUUGCACCCUAGUUCUGUGGCUCCUUGCUGGUGCCCACUUGGUGGCUUUCAGCUGUCACAUCUCUCCACUCAUGCGCAGACGUGAAAUUUCAGACUAGUUAGGAUUCUGGAGAUGGGCUUGCGGAUGGAGCUGAAGACCCUAGCUUUUUGUAAGACUGCUUUGUUGGUUUUUUUUUUUUUCCCCUUCCACUUUUUUUUUUUUUUUAAUGUAACAGGGUCCAAAGUUUACGUCCAUUUAGCUGGCCUUCUCCGUGGUAAGAGCUAUUUUAUAAGGUGGCCGAAGGAGUGAAAGUUAUCAGCGGGGCUGGGUAAUGUAAAGUAUUUAUCAAUGGAUGUGCACAGCCCAGCCUGGAGGUGUAAGACGUGGGGCUGUGCUCAGGCAGAGCUGCUGCCGAUUCGAGCCUUCUCUGCAGUGAAGCAUAAUUCAUGCUGCUGUUAGCCCUUAAAACAGGAAAUAAUAUACCCAUUUAACUCAAUCACAAUUUAUAUUACAUGUGCAUAUUUCUAAACAAAUGAUGUAGAGGGGAGAGCUUGGUAGCAAUAAUAUUUAUGAAUUACACUUUUAGUUAGCAAAGGAAAUGUGUGACCUCUUACAUUUGGUUUGACAUUUGAAUUUGGCGUUCAGUGUAUUUGACAGACGUGAUGGAUACUCAUUAGCUCCGCGUAUAAACAGGAAGUGCUUCCACGGUGAACAGUUAUUAAUGCAGGGCAUCCUGAAUCCGAAGGCUCGGCUGCUUAUUCAGCUCUAGGCUGUGACAUUUAAUUUCUCUCUU